This 303-nucleotide ribosomal RNA is filed under the name uncultured Fusobacterium sp. Its description in RNAcentral is "bacterial SSU rRNA". It matches the Rfam family "Bacterial small subunit ribosomal RNA", at positions 1212 to 1513 of the family's 1533-position model. Lineage: Bacteria; Fusobacteriati; Fusobacteriota; Fusobacteriia; Fusobacteriales; Fusobacteriaceae. The record is from RNAcentral.
GGCUACACACGUGCUACAAUGGGUAGUACAGAGAGUCGCAAAGCCGCGAGGUGGAGCUAAUCUCAGAAAACUAUUCUUAGUUCGGAUUGUACUCUGCAACUCGAGUACAUGAAGUUGGAAUCGCUAGUAAUCGCGAAUCAGCAAUGUCGCGGUGAAUACGUUCUCGGGUCUUGUACACACCGCCUGUCACACCACGAGAGUUGGUUGCACCUGAAGUAGCAGGCCUAACCGUAAGGAGGGAUGCUCCGAGGGUGUGAUUAGCGAUUGGGGUGAAGUCGUAACAAGGUAUCCGUACGGGAACGU